UUCUCUGGGUGCGGAGGCGAGGCCGGAAGUGAUGUUGAGUAGGGAAUGGGGAGCGAGGUACCCUGGUGGUCCGCAGGUUAGGCGGGAGGCUCGCGGCUCUGGGCUGGAGGUAAGAAUGAAGAAAGUCGAGCUCUGGUGGGAGUGGUCCGGAUUCAUCUGAAGAGAGACACUGCGAGGUUCGUUGGUGGGAGACAGGUUUCGGUUUUGCUCAGAGGACGGAUGGACGUCCACCAGAGGUGAAUUGUCUGAAGAGAGCAGGUAAGCCCUUUAAGAAUAAUAAUGAAUACAACCGAAUGAAGCACAGCCGAAUGGACUCCCAAGAGGCUUCCCAGGUGGCACUAGAGGUCAAGGAUGCAUUCCAAGAAAGCUCUAAAGAUAUAUCACCAGCUCCGACCGUAUAGCUGACCUAGCCAUGGAAAACCUCACUGGAACCUUACUAGAUCGAAGCGUAAUCUUAAAAAAUAUGCUUCCCAUCAGAAAGUAUCAGGAAUAAAAAUCUGAGAUGUAUACCCACCACUUCAAGGAAGUUCCAGUGUCAGCCAACAGUUUAGCAGAUCAGCUAGUUUCUUUGAUCAAGCAGACGUAGUCAAGCUACCAACACAACAGAAGAAAAUGUCUCUGUAUUUUUCAUGUUAUGUGUGGGACCCAUUUAGUAGGUCAUGAAAUCAAUUUUGUGAGUCAUGAUGAACAUUUUUAAAAACAAAAUAAAAUUUGAAAUAUCAGAGUGCUUUGCAUAAAUCCUUUGCCAGAGUCCUGAACCUUACAGGGAAUACUAAGGUCAGUUUCAAUAUGUGAAAAGAUAUUUGAUGGAGGGGAUAUGAUCAAUAUAGUGUCCAUUGAUUGCUUAAGAAAUGGUUUUUCAGUCAUUUGUUCAUUGAUGUUUGGUUUUCAUAACAAAACGGCUGAUGUGCAGUCUAGUUGUAUAUUAUAACUUGCAACUGGAUAAAAUCUGAGAUGUUCAACUGAGAUUCAGUUGCAAAUUGAAUGUUUUGGAAAGAUAUUAUCCAGGCUAUAAAUAUACACACAUAAAUAUAUAUAUUUGAGUUAGUGGCAAUUGUAACAUUCAAAAUUGCUUUUAAAAUGGAUCAUUUCUUUUUUAAAAGAAAGAGGAAUAAUGAAACAAAAUAUGCAAAACAUGUUCAAGUUCUACCUCUGGAUCUGAAAGUGUGACCAGUGACAAUUAUGAGAAAAAUAUUGACUCUAAUCUGCAAACAUCAACUGCAUUUGAACCACAUUUCAAAAAGAAAAAAGUCAGUGUAAGACGUUAUAAUGAAGAUUAUUUAAAAUAUGGUUUUAUCAAAUGUGAAAAACCCUUUGAAAGUGACAGACCUCAGUGUGUUAUUUGUAAUAAUAUUCUUGCAAAUGAAAGCUUAAAACCUUAAAAAUUAAAAAGGCACUUAGAAACACAGCAUGCUGAACUUAUUGAUAAGCCUCUUGAAUAUUUUCAAAGGAAGAAAAAAGACGUAAAGUCACCAACACCAUUUCUUAGCUAUUCUUCUGUCAGUGAGAAAGCCUUAUUGUCAUCGUACUUAGUUGCAUAUAAUGUGGCGAAAGAGAAAAUGGCUUACACAGCUGCAGAAAAAAUUAUUCUUCCAGCAUGCUUGGAUACGGUGCGUACAAUUUUUGAUGAUAAAUCUGCGGAUAAACUAAAAACUAUUCCUAGUGACAACACGAUAGCUCUUCGAAUUUGUACAAUUGCCGAGCAUUUAGAGGCCACGCUUACUACUCGAUUACAGUCAGGAAUAGACUUUGCAGUUCAGUUUGAUGAAAGCACUGAUACUGGAAGCUGCCCAGCACUUUUAGUCUAUGUGAGAGACAUGGCAAGGUGUCUUCAUGGAGGGUUUUUUGUGUUGUUUAAACUUAACCUCAUGCCUAAGUGAAUUAGAUAUUUUCACAGAAUUGGAAAAGUGCAUUGUUGGUCACUAUAACUUAAACUGGAAAAACUGCAAAGGAAUCACAAGUGACGGAACAGCAAACAUAACUGGGAAACAGAGCAGAGUAAUUAAAGAGUUGCUCGAGGUGACUAGUGCUAUGUGGAAUCACUGUUUUACCCAUCGUGAAGCGUUAGUGUCCAGAGAGAUCCCACAGAAUCUCAUGGAAGUAUUGAAAAAUGCAGUGAAAGCUGUUAAUUUUAUUAAAGGAAGCUCACUAAACAGCCGACUGCUUGAAACCUUCUGUUUAGAGAUUGGAGCUAACUAUACCCACUUACUAUAUCAUACCAAAGUCCGCUGGUUAUCUCAAGGGAAAAUACUAAGCAGGGUUUAUGAACUCAGGAACGAGAUCCACAUUUUUCUCACUGAAAAGAAAUCUCAUUUGGCAACUAUUUUUGAGGAUGAUAUUUGGGUAAUGAAACUGGCAUAUUUAACAUAUUUUUGGCAUCCUUAAUGAACUCAGUUUAAAACUACAGGGGAAAAACAAUGAUGUAUUGCAACAGAUGGAAUGGAUCCAAGGAUUCCGAAAGACAUUAUUGUUGUGGCAAGCGAGACUGAAAAGCAACCGUCCUAGCUACUACAUGUUUCCAAGAUUUUUGCAGCACAUCGAAGAGAAUGUUAUUAAUGAGAACAUUUUGGAGGAAAUAAAACUAGAGAUACUGUUGCAUCUCAUGUCUCUCUCUCAAACCUUUAACCAUUUCUUCCCAGAAGAGAAAUUCGAAACACUAAGACAAAAUUGUUGGGUAAAAGAUCCAUUUGCUUUUCAAAACCCAGAAUUAAUAACUGAGUUAGACCUGGUGCCUGAAGAAGAGAAUGAAUUAUUGCAGCUCAGUUCUUCAUUCACAUUGAAGAAUGAUUAUGAAGCAUUAAGUUUAUCAGCAUUUUGGAUUAAGAUAAAGGAAGAUUUUCCAUUGCUAAGUCAAAAGAGCACCCUGCUACUAUUACCAUUCACAACGACUAGUUUGUGUGAACUGGGAUUUUCGGUCUUAACCCAGUUAAAAACAAAGGAAAGGAAUGGAUUCCCUGGUGCAGCAGAGAUGCGGGUAGCACUCUCCUCCUGUGUUCCAGACUGGAAUGAGCUCUUGCGCAGGCAGGACACUCCCCACGUUAUAUCAGUCUGACCUUGGUUUUGUUUGUGUUUCAUAUUUUGUGAUCCUGUCCUGUAUUGUAUUUAAAUGUUAAUAUAGCAGUGUAUGUGGUAACUUAUGUUUUAUUUUGGUUAAAUACAAUAAAAUAAUUUUAUGUCCAUUGAA
Capra hircus (goat) is the source of this 3184-nucleotide RNA transcript. RefSeq lists it as uncharacterized. The transcript is spliced from 3 exons. The record is from RefSeq and is a predicted model, not a curated record. Lineage: Eukaryota; Metazoa; Chordata; Mammalia; Artiodactyla; Bovidae.